RNAcentral lists this unclassified non-coding RNA (510 nucleotides) under Octopus sinensis (East Asian common octopus). RNAcentral's name for it is "uncharacterized LOC118763025, transcript variant X1". The record is from RNAcentral. Lineage: Eukaryota; Metazoa; Mollusca; Cephalopoda; Octopoda; Octopodidae.
AAAACAACUAUCACCAAUCUCCAAGAGGCUGAAGGAAACUAGCCAUCGUGCUGUACCAACUGUUACUAGUAAUAUUAGCUAUUUCAUUUGUGAACAGCUACAACUACGAAUGCAUACAUAAUGGAAUAAGAUAUAAAGGAGUAUUUAAUAUGGACUGCAACACGUGUGUAUGUGAGGAAUAUGGCAAAGCAGUCUGUACAAAUUUGCGUUGUGAUUACGGGCAGGAAUCUACUUGUAUCUAUCAAGGUAGACGUUACAGAGUAGGAGAGACAUUCCAGCAAUCCAUAACAACGACACGGCAAAACUUUCAUGACAAACUUUGCAGAGUAAGAAACAUUGAUGUAGAGCUGGAAACGCAUUGUUCAAGAUUGACUUGGAAAUCACAAGCAUGAUUAAAAGUGAAGCCUGUCAUGUUUUCAAUAAUUCGAGCUGCCCACAAUACACGCACACACAAACAAACAGAUACACACAUAUAUACACGCGUGUGUAAAUAUUAGUAUGAAUUUGUGU